Molecule: ribosomal RNA, 497 nt
Filed under: uncultured bacterium
Lineage: Bacteria
Description: partial 16S ribosomal RNA
Rfam family: Bacterial small subunit ribosomal RNA
Source: RNAcentral
GAUGAACGCUGGCGGCGUGCCUAAUACAUGCAAGUCGAGCGAACAGACGAGGAGCUUGCUCCUCUGACGUUAGCGGCGGACGGGUGAGUAACACGUGGAUAACCUACCUAUAAGACUGGGAUAACUUCGGGAAACCGGAGCCAAUACCGAAUAAUAUAUUGAACCGCAUGGUUCAAUAGUGAAAGACGGUUUUGCUGUCACUUAUAGAUGGAUCCGCGCCGCAUUAGCUAGUUGGUAAGGUAACGGCUUACCAAGGCAACGAUGCGUAGCCGACCUGAGAGGGUGAUCGGCCACACUGGAACUGAGACACGGUCCAGACUCCUACGGGAGGCAGCAGUAGGGAAUCUUCCGCAAUGGGCGAAAGCUUGACGGAGCAACGCCGCGUGAGUGAUGAAGGUCUUCGGAUCGUAAAACUCUGUUAUUAGGGAAGAACAAAUGUGUAAGUAACUAUGCACGUCUUGACGGUACCUAAUCAGAAAGCCACGGCUAACUACGUG